UGCAGGCCAGCCGGGGCUCCCAGGACAGACGGGAUCUGAGGGCCCCAGGGGUCAGCCGGGCCCUCCGGGGCCUCCGGGAAAAGGCUUCAGUUUUGACAUGAUGGAUUUGGAGGGGUCGGGUCUGGAUGGAAGCAGUGGUUUCAGACCUGUUCUGCCCAGAGGACCACCUGGUCUUCCUGGGCUCCCAGGACCUCCAGGGCCACAGGGGAAAGAAGGAGCCGUCGGCCCUCCGGGUGUUUCAGUGAAGGGGGAGCCGGGCGCGAAAGGAGACGACGGACAGCCUGGGUCAUCUGGACUGCCUGGGCGACAAGGGGAAAGGGGGGAGAAAGGUGAUAUGGGUCAGAAGGU
This 348-nucleotide long non-coding RNA is filed under the name Sinocyclocheilus anshuiensis. RNAcentral's name for it is "lncRNA (ENSSANG00000044296.1)". Lineage: Eukaryota; Metazoa; Chordata; Actinopteri; Cypriniformes; Cyprinidae. The record is from RNAcentral.